AGAACGGUUUUAUUAAAAACCAUUCACUCAUCCUUUGAUCAGCUA
Setaria italica (foxtail millet) is the source of this 45-nucleotide non-coding RNA. The record is from Rfam. Lineage: Eukaryota; Viridiplantae; Streptophyta; Magnoliopsida; Poales; Poaceae.